CCCUUAGAUGUUCUGGGCCGCACGCGUGCUACACUGAGUGGAUCAGCGGGUCAGGUUGCGCGAAAGUGUUUCCUAAUCUUGAAAUCCGCUCGUGAUGGGGAUUGACGGUUGCAAUUUUCCGUCAUGAACGAGGAAUACCUUGUAAGCGCGGGUCAUCAUCCCGCGCUGAAUACGUCCCUGCCCUUUGUACACACCGCCCGGCGCUCCUACCGAUUGAGUGGUCCGGUGAGGCUUUGGGAUCUGAGCGGAAAGAGCGUUUCGCUGUUUCUGCUCGGAAAACUCAGUCGAACCUUAUCAUUUAGAGGAAGGAGAAGUCGUAACA
Molecule: ribosomal RNA, 322 nt
Filed under: uncultured eukaryote
Lineage: Eukaryota
Description: partial 18S ribosomal RNA
Rfam family: Eukaryotic small subunit ribosomal RNA
Source: RNAcentral